RNAcentral lists this ribosomal RNA (426 nucleotides) under uncultured Halococcus sp. RNAcentral's name for it is "bacterial SSU rRNA". It matches the Rfam family "Archaeal small subunit ribosomal RNA", at positions 459 to 879 of the family's 1478-position model. Lineage: Archaea; Methanobacteriati; Methanobacteriota; Halobacteria; Halobacteriales; Halococcaceae. The record is from RNAcentral.
CAGCCGCCGCGGUAAUACCGGCAGCACGAGUGAUAGCCACUAUUAUUGGGCCUAAAGCGUCCGUAGCCGGCUACACAGGUCCGUCGGGAAAUCCACCCGCUCAACGGGUGGGCGUCCGGCGGAAACCAGGUAGCUUGGCUUGGGGCCGGAAGACCAGAGGGGUACGUCCGGGGUAGGAGUGAACUCCNGUAAUCCUGGACGGACCACCGGUUGCGAAAGCGCCUCUGGAGGACGGACCCGACGGUGAGGGACGAAAGCUUGGGUCUCGAACCGGAUUAGAUACCCGGGUAGUCCAAGCUGUAAACGAUGCUCGCUAGGUGCGGCGCAGGCUACGAGCUUGCGCUGUGCCGUAGGGAAGCCGAGAAGCGAGCCGCCUGGGAAGUACGUCCGCAAGGAUGAAACUUAAAGGAAUUGGCGGGGGAGCAC